This is a long non-coding RNA of Myotis brandtii (Brandt's bat), 129 nucleotides long. RefSeq lists it as uncharacterized. The record is from RefSeq and is a predicted model, not a curated record. The transcript has 3 exons. NCBI's taxonomy places the organism in Eukaryota, Metazoa, Chordata, Mammalia, Chiroptera, Vespertilionidae.
UCUCCGGUUGUGGUUCCGGUCAGCGUUAGUCAGCCUAUGGCCUUCUCGGUUAAGCUUGAUCUGCAACCUGCCAAGGUUUCCAGGUAUCCUUCUGGCCUGCUGGUAAUCCCGCUCAGCGCCGCGUCCUCC